This 292-nucleotide ribosomal RNA is filed under the name uncultured bacterium. RNAcentral's name for it is "partial 16S ribosomal RNA". It matches the Rfam family "Bacterial small subunit ribosomal RNA", at positions 505 to 796 of the family's 1533-position model. The record is from RNAcentral.
GUGCCAGCCGCCGCGGUAAAACGUAGGAGCCAAGCGUUAUCCGAAUUCACUGGGCGUAAAGCGCGUGCAGGCGGUCUGGUAAGUUGGAUGUGAAAUCUCCUGGCUCAACUGGGAGAGGCCGUUCAAUACUGUCAGACUAGAGGGCGACAGAGGGAGGUAGAAUUCCCGGUGUAGUGGUGAAAUGCGUAGAUAUCGGGAGGAAUACCAGAGGCGAAGGCGACCUUCUGGGUCGUACCUGACGCUCAGACGCGAAAGCUAGGGGAGCAAACGGGAUUAGAAACCCCCGUAGUCC